GCUUGCUUCUCUUGAGAGCGGCGGACGGGUGAGUAAUGCCUAGGAAUCUGCCUGGUAGUGGGGGAUAACGUUCGGAAACGGACGCUAAUACCGCAUACGUCCUACGGGAGAAAGCAGGGGACCUUCGGGCCUUGCGCUAUCAGAUGAGCCUAGGUCGGAUUAGCUAGUUGGUGAGGUAAUGGCUCACCAAGGCGACGAUCCGUAACUGGUCUGAGAGGAUGAUCAGUCACACUGGAACUGAGACACGGUCCAGACUCCUACGGGAGGCAGCAGUGGGGAAUAUUGGACAAUGGGCGAAAGCCUGAUCCAGCCAUGCCGCGUGUGUGAAGAAGGUCUUCGGAUUGUAAAGCACUUUAAGUUGGGAGGAAGGGCAUUAACCUAAUACGUUAGUGUUUUGACGUUACCGACAGAAUAAGCACCGGCUAACUCUGUGCCAGCAGCCGCGGUAAUACAGAGGGUGCAAGCGUUAAUCGGAAUUACUGGGCGUAAAGCGCGCGUAGGUGGUUUGUUAAGUUGGAUGUGAAAUCCCCGGGCUCAACCUGGGAACUGCAUUCAAAACUGACUGACUAGAGUAUGGUAGAGGGUGGUGGAAUUUCCUGUGUAGCGGUGAAAUGCGUA
RNAcentral lists this ribosomal RNA (618 nucleotides) under Pseudomonas fluorescens. Its description in RNAcentral is "bacterial SSU rRNA". It matches the Rfam family "Bacterial small subunit ribosomal RNA", at positions 78 to 692 of the family's 1533-position model. The record is from RNAcentral. Lineage: Bacteria; Pseudomonadati; Pseudomonadota; Gammaproteobacteria; Pseudomonadales; Pseudomonadaceae.